UACGGAGGGAGCUAGCGUUGUUCGGAAUUACUGGGCGUAAAGCGCACGUAGGCGGCUUUGUAAGUUAGAGGUGAAAGCCCGGGGCUCAACCCCGGAAUUGCCUUUAAGACUGCAUCGCUUGAAUCCGGGAGAGGUGAGUGGAAUUCCGAGUGUAGAGGUGAAAAUUCGUAGAUAUUCGGAAGAACACCAGUGGCGAAGGCGGCUCACUGGACCGGCAUUGACGCUGAGGUGCGAAAGCGUGGGGAGCAAACAGG
Molecule: ribosomal RNA, 254 nt
Filed under: uncultured bacterium
Lineage: Bacteria
Description: partial 16S ribosomal RNA
Rfam family: Bacterial small subunit ribosomal RNA
Source: RNAcentral